Long non-coding RNA from Dermochelys coriacea (leatherback sea turtle), 1370 nucleotides. RefSeq lists it as uncharacterized. The record is from RefSeq and is a predicted model, not a curated record. Lineage: Eukaryota; Metazoa; Chordata; Testudines; Dermochelyidae. The transcript has 2 exons.
UUUUGGGUCUUUUUCUUAUAUAGGCUCCUAUUAUCCCUGUUCUGAUUUUUCACAUUUGCUGUCUACUUACCCUACUGUGGAGAAGGGUGCUGUUGUGGUUGUGAAAGGCUGUAGGGAAGUAGGCUGCAUUCAUUUCCUGAGAGGAGAGAGAGACUGGCAAAACCAGAGAGGGGGAAAGUGAGACCUGUAGGAAGAAGCCCAGGGAAACAGCAACAAGAGGCUGUUGUGUCAGACAACAUGCUUGCUGCAUGGAAGUCCCACUGGAAUGAAAGACACACCUGUCUGCAGCAGAGCUGAGCAAAGAACAAGAGAUCAGCAUUCCCAGGCUGCAGAACUGCUCAAUGUCCUAUCCUGAUCCUGUCCCUCUGUACAGCCCAACAGCCCACUGACACCUUGCAGAUGAUUGAGACCACUUGGACGCUGCAGUCCUUGAAACAGAGUAACCAAGUGUGUAGACACAACGUGUCUUCCAGGCUCCCAAGUAUUCUAAUGAAUUAAUGAAGUAUUUUCUGCUUUUAACUUGUAGUGGGUUUUGCUGGAGGAGGAAAAGCUUGAAUUGGUUCAUUUCUCAUACUGCUUCUUGCUUUUUUCUUGGAUUUGUUUUUUGGAUAUUUCAUUGGCGUGGGAGUGGGGGUUUCUUGUUUAUUGUCUGGCAGAUAAUGGCACCAAAACUUGAAAGGUCUGAAUGCUUCAGGGAACUGAACUCAGGUCUGCCAUGUCCUAAGCCAGUGCCUUCCUCUUCAGCUGUAAUUCAUGAUGCUGAUGGAAAGGAGAAUGAUAUGUGCACUUUUUGUGGUUACUUAACAAUGUUGUUCACUUUCCUACCAGCACAAGAAAAAACAUCUCGCAGGUCCGUGAAACGAGCACCCGAAUCAUCUGGCUCUUUUUAAAUGUAUAGAAAAGUUAGCUUUUGGCUUUCACUUUUGGUUCAGGUGGGGGAUAGUUAGCCAAUUCUAGGCCUGCGUCCCUCAGGAAGACAUGAAUCCUGGGGUGUGCUUCACCUGCUCUGAUAAGGUUGGAGAUGUCCUCUAGGGUGCAUUUGGCCCAGACAGUUAAGUUGCCUAUCAGUGAGACAUGGCACUAUGACUGAGGCAAUCAACAGAAUGACAAAACCAAACUCUCCCACCAACAGAAAGACUGGACCUUAUUGAUAAUAUUUCAGUAACAAAGGAAUUUGUCCAAAAAUAUGAUUUAUGGCAUGUUACAUUUGGAAAUAUGUAGCUAGAUUUCAGAGUAUUAACUUGGUACUAAUCACUUGCUGAAUGUUUUUGCAUAGUUUUUGCUUUGUUAAUAUUGUAUCUAUUAAUUAUUGAAAACUACUGAACCUGAUGUAACUUGCGCUUUUUUUUGUAAAUCAACUUUGCGCUGUC